UACGGAGGGAGCUAGCGUUGUUCGGAAUUACUGGGCGUAAAGCGCGCGUAGGCGGCUUUGUAAGUUAGAGGUGAAAGCCUGGAGCUCAACUUCAGAAUUGCCUUUAAGACUGCAUCGCUUGAAUCCGGGAGAGGUGAGUGGAAUUCCGAGUGUAGAGGUGAAAUUCGUAGAUAUUCGGAAGAACACCAGUGGCGAAGGCGGCUCACUGGACCGGCAUUGACGCUGAUGUGCGAAAGCGUGGGGAGCAACAGGG
This 253-nucleotide ribosomal RNA is filed under the name uncultured bacterium. Its description in RNAcentral is "partial 16S ribosomal RNA". It matches the Rfam family "Bacterial small subunit ribosomal RNA", at positions 524 to 776 of the family's 1533-position model. The record is from RNAcentral.